AGCAAGCUCUAGAGGCAUGCCUUACACAUGCAGUCGAACGGCAGCACAGAGACUUCGGUCUGGUUGUGCGAGUGGCGAAC
RNAcentral lists this ribosomal RNA (80 nucleotides) under Comamonas kerstersii. RNAcentral's name for it is "partial 16S ribosomal RNA". Lineage: Bacteria; Pseudomonadati; Pseudomonadota; Betaproteobacteria; Burkholderiales; Comamonadaceae. The record is from RNAcentral.